Molecule: long non-coding RNA, 1079 nt
Filed under: Sus scrofa (pig)
Lineage: Eukaryota; Metazoa; Chordata; Mammalia; Artiodactyla; Suidae
Description: lncRNA (ENSSSCG00065070783.1)
Source: RNAcentral
CUGAUAAAUACUCCCUAUUUUUAUGUUUGCGGGGAUAAUUCUAAGUUGUGUUCUACAUAGUAAUUCUCCAUAGCUACUGGAGAGUCCCUAGUGGAAUAGAGCUGCAGUUUUUCACUGCACUAACCAGAUCCACAUUCACCCCUAGAUUGUCUUUCUCUCUUCGUUUUUACACUUUCCAGUCACUCACUCUUAAUCUUUGGGAAAUAAACUCUUGUACCUAAGUGCCUGUCGCAGGUUUUGCUUUUUAGAUGGGCACAAAGCUAAGACUUCCUCUAAUCCUGAUUUUCUUAACCAGCCCACUUGAUUCACACAGUUUACCUUCUUGGCUCUGCAGGCAUUUGCAGUUGUGACCCUGUCCUAGAGAUCAUGGUUAGGGACUCACUCCAGGUAUUCUCUGCCAUGACCACCUGAGCAAGUCCUCCGAUGCUCCAGGCAAUAUUAAAGCCCUUUGCUAGUGCUGUUUCCUUGCUUUAAACCCCACUCCUGAGCCCUACACCAAUUCCCUGUUAACUUCCUUUCAUCAGCAAAUUCCUCCUCAGCCUUCAAGGCCAGGUUCAGUUUAGAUUCCUCUAUGGACCUUUCUGUAACUCUUCCACAAUUGAGCAUCUUUAAAGACUAAGGAGAAAGAGCCAGAAGAGGCAGAGAGUGCGGAGAGGAAGAAGACACUGAUGGAGUCCACUCUUUGGAGAUGAUGGGAAUAGCUUUUAUUGGUACAGAUGCAGGUGUCUACCUCCAAAAGAAGAAAGGUUCUUCCUUCUUCUCUGAGAAGAAGAUCUUGUCCACAGAGCCUGUGAUACUGGGGACUUAUAAAGUAUACUGACAAGGUGGUCUUUGAUCAAAGCCGAUGACUUGACGCCAAAACAUCUGCCCACAUGUGCUGAAGAUCUGUGCAGAGAAUGAAAACCUUGAUUACCUUGCGAACUUCACUUCUGCAACAGGAAGUUAAAAACUUGAAAUUUAUAUUGAAAUGGAUUUAUAUGUCUUCUUUCUGUCAAAUACACCUUCACAUCUGAAUGUGAGAGUCUGAUGUGAACAUUCAUCAAAGAAUAAAUUUACUUCCAAUGUGCUUUUGAAUCCUC